UGCGUAGGCGGGUCUUUAAGUCAGGGGUGAAAUCCUGGAGCUCAACUCCAGAACUGCCUUUGAUACUGAAGAUCUUGAGUUCGGGAGAGGUGAGUGGAACUGCGAGUGUAGAGGUGAAAUUCGUAGAUAUCCGCAAGAACACCAGUGGCGAAGGCGGCUCACUGGCCCGAUACUGACGCUGAGGCACGAAAGCUGGGGAGCAAACA
RNAcentral lists this ribosomal RNA (206 nucleotides) under uncultured bacterium. Its description in RNAcentral is "partial 16S ribosomal RNA". It matches the Rfam family "Bacterial small subunit ribosomal RNA", at positions 568 to 774 of the family's 1533-position model. The record is from RNAcentral.